RNAcentral lists this ribosomal RNA (320 nucleotides) under uncultured Syntrophaceae bacterium. RNAcentral describes it as "bacterial SSU rRNA". It matches the Rfam family "Bacterial small subunit ribosomal RNA", at positions 1060 to 1382 of the family's 1533-position model. Lineage: Bacteria; Pseudomonadati; Thermodesulfobacteriota; Syntrophia; Syntrophales; Syntrophaceae. The record is from RNAcentral.
UCGUGUCGUGAGAUGUUGGUUAAGUCCCGUAACGAGCGCAACCCUUGUCUUUAAUUGCCAUCAUUUAGUUGGGCACUUUAAAGAGACUGCCGGUGUUAAGCCGGAGGAAGGUGGGGAUGACGUCAAGUCCUCAUGGCCUUUAUGCCCAGGGCUACACACGUGCUACAAUGGGCGGUACAAAGAGAAGCAACCUCGCGAGGGUGAGCAAAUCUCAAAAAGCCGUUCUCAGUUCGGAUUGAAGUCUGCAACUCGACUUCAUGAAGUCGGAAUCGCUAGUAAUCGCGGAUCAGCAUGCCGCGGUGAAUACGUUCCCGGGCCUU